UGCCAGCAGCCGCGGUAAUACGGAGGAUCCAAGCGUUAUCCGGAAUCAUUGGGUUUAAAGGGUCCGUAGGCGGUCUUAUAAGUCAGUGGUGAAAGCCCAUCGCUCAACGAUGGAACUGCCAUUGAUACUGUAAGACUUGAAUGCUUAGGAAGUAACUAGAAUAUGUAGUGUAGCGGUGAAAUGCUUAGAUAUUACAUGGAAUACCAAUUGCGAAGGCAGGUUACUACUAAGUGAUUGACGCUGAUGGACGAAAGCGUGGGGAGCGAACAGGAUUAGAUACCCUGGUAGUCCACGCCGUAAACGAUGGAUACUAGCUGUUCGGAGCAAUCUGAGUGGCUAAGCGAAAGUGAUAAGUAUCCCACCUGGGGAGUACGCACGCAAGUGUGAAACUCAAAGAAAUUGACGG
This 406-nucleotide ribosomal RNA is filed under the name uncultured Flavobacterium sp. Its description in RNAcentral is "bacterial SSU rRNA". It matches the Rfam family "Bacterial small subunit ribosomal RNA", at positions 506 to 916 of the family's 1533-position model. The record is from RNAcentral. Lineage: Bacteria; Pseudomonadati; Bacteroidota; Flavobacteriia; Flavobacteriales; Flavobacteriaceae.